GCCCGGGUGGUGAAAAGGGAGACACGAUCGCCUUAAAAGCGAUUGCCGUAUGACGGCGUGCGGGUUCGAGUCCCGUUCCGGGUA
This 84-nucleotide transfer RNA is filed under the name Candidatus Stackebrandtia excrementipullorum. Its description in RNAcentral is "tRNA-Leu". It matches the Rfam family "tRNA". Rfam says of the family: Transfer RNA (tRNA) molecules are approximately 80 nucleotides in length. Their secondary structure includes four short double-helical elements and three loops (D, anti-codon, and T loops). The record is from RNAcentral. Lineage: Bacteria; Bacillati; Actinomycetota; Actinomycetes; Glycomycetales; Glycomycetaceae.